UUGACAGAUAAAAAAGAAAAAUCGAAACUUUCAAGGGAUAAUUUUAUUUUAUUUUGAUUCCUGAGAAAACCAGGAAAAUCAAUAAGGUGCAGGUUCGAAUCUUGUGAUCAGAAGUCCUAAAAAGUGAACAAGAAACCAAAAUUUCUUUGCUUUUCCUGCUUUUCUCGGCAACCAAAUGGCUACGGAUGUAAAUCAUUUAUGU
RNAcentral lists this unclassified non-coding RNA (202 nucleotides) under Hevea brasiliensis (rubber tree). The record is from RNAcentral. Lineage: Eukaryota; Viridiplantae; Streptophyta; Magnoliopsida; Malpighiales; Euphorbiaceae.